GUAGCGGUAACUACCGCAAUUAAAAUAGCUGUAACGUCCGCUAUCAAGGUAGCUGUAACUUCCGCUAUUAAGAUAACAGUUACAGCUAUCUUGAUAGCGGAAGUUACAGCUAUCUUGAUAGCGGAAGUUACCGCUAUCUUGACUGCGGUAGUUACCGCUAU
This 161-nucleotide microRNA precursor is filed under the name Lotus japonicus. RNAcentral's name for it is "miR7526a stem-loop (lja-MIR7526a)". The stretch from base 25 to 137 matches the Rfam family "MIR7526 microRNA precursor family". Lineage: Eukaryota; Viridiplantae; Streptophyta; Magnoliopsida; Fabales; Fabaceae. The record is from miRBase by way of RNAcentral.